RNAcentral lists this ribosomal RNA (482 nucleotides) under uncultured bacterium. Its description in RNAcentral is "bacterial SSU rRNA". It matches the Rfam family "Bacterial small subunit ribosomal RNA", at positions 35 to 507 of the family's 1533-position model. The record is from RNAcentral.
GACACGGCUGGCGGCGUGCCUAACACAUGCAAGUCGAGCGGAGUCGAUCGACGGAAGCCUUCGGGCGGAAGAUGGUUGACUUAGCGGCGGAUGGGUGAGUAACGCGUGGGCAACCUGCCUCGAAGACCGGGAUAACAGCCCGAAAGGGCUGCUAAUACCGGAUGUGGUCAAGGAUCCGCAUGGAUUUUUGAUUAAAGGGGAAACCCGUUUCGAGAUGGGCCCGCGUCCUAUCAGCUAGUUGGUGAGGUAAAAGCUCACCAAGGCGACGACGGGUAGCCGGCCUGAGAGGGUGACCGGCCACACUGGAACUGAGACACGGUCCAGACUCCUACGGGGGGCAGCAGUGGGGAAUCUUCCACAAUGGGCGAAAGCCUGAUGGAGCGACGCCGCGUGAGCGAAGAAGGCCUUCGGGUUGUAAAGCUCUGUCUGGAGGGACGAAGGAAGUGACGGUACCUCCGGAGGAAGCCACGGCUAACUACGUG